RNAcentral lists this long non-coding RNA (1746 nucleotides) under Vitis vinifera (wine grape). Its description in RNAcentral is "long non-coding RNA (VVIN_LNC001990)". The record is from RNAcentral. Lineage: Eukaryota; Viridiplantae; Streptophyta; Magnoliopsida; Vitales; Vitaceae.
AUACUGCCUCAAAAAGGCAAUCUCAUGCUCCGCCCUGUUCUUCUUCUUGACCCUGCACUAGCAAAAGCUCUGAAGCUGGUACACAAACUCAUUAACCAUGCCCUAGAACCACGGGUUUGUCAACUGCAUGUUGACCAUUCAUGUAACACCACCUGGAACAAAGAUGUGACGGUAGAGAUAGGAUCGAAUACAUCAGACCAACUCAGCUCAGUUUUGAACUCAACAGAACCUUCUUAUCAUUUCUAUCUUCAACUCUGUCAUUCCCUGGACUUCAGAGUACACAACCAGAUCCUCCUCCAAUAGGGGAUAUGUGCGUCUCCAUUCUAAAUAAAAAUUGCCAGAACAGUGAGGAUGAACCACUAGAUUGUUGUUAUUUCAUAUCACUGGUUUCAUAUAGUUGUUCGUUAUGCAACUUCUAGAUGUUCCAAUCUGUACAGAAAGGCACUGGAUUCUCCAAGCCAAAGAUUUAGCAAAUGGGUCCUUGAUUAUGCUCAUUGAGGAUAUCAAGUGGGCCAUUAAAAACUGCAAAGAGAGAGUACAAUGCCCAAAGUAAUUUCAUCAGGCUCAUAUAUUUCACUCAGCAUUCUUUGGAAAAUUCUCAACCCUUCAUGAUAAUCCCCAUUCUUGAGCGUAGCAAGAGACCAUAGCUUUCCCUGUCCAAAAGGCCAACUAGUUGUCCUUUGUGGUAGGUUCAACACCAUUUUCAACUUCUCCAUUGUAUCAAGGGAUAACUAGCACAUGGGAGUAAUGAUACGAUAGAUGGUGAAUGGGUGGCACGAAAUAGAUAAAGCAGACAUGAUGCAUAUUUCGAAACCCUCUAUGGACCACACUUUAAAGUCUCUAUGAUAUUUUGAAGCAUAGCUACUCGGUUAUGAUCUCCAACCUUGAUGCAAGAUGCUAAACCAGGCUCAAGCUACUCAAAAUGCUCAUCGAGUACUCUUUAGAGACCAAGCCUUUAUAAUCACAGCUUUCACUCCCUGGGUUUGCACUCUCAGAUGAAGAUGCACCAACCAAAGCACACCACAGACAAACACCAAAAUAAUAGAGAAGUAUAGAGAGGAAAACUGAUAAAACAGAGCAGGAGUUGGUGAAAUGAGAGUUUAUUAAGCAAAGCUUGGUUUCAUGUGUUAUCAACAGGCUUACAAGCUAGUGGGAGAGAGAAUGGAUUUAGGGUGAAAUGAUAGGAGAGUGACCUUCAGACAUCACACAACAAAGUUGGACCAAAUUCAUAUUAUUUCUCUAAACACAAACAAAGAAGCAACAUAUGGAUAUACAGUCAUAGUGAAUCCAGUGGAAACACAGAAAUCAACAAGAGUAGCCAUAUGAUAUCCACACACAAAUAGCUAAAUAAUACCCAACAAUAAACAAAGGAGAGCGAAUAGCAAGAGAAUAAUGGAGAUAGAUAAUAAACAUACCUGAAAAUGCUCCUCUCCAGCUUCUUUUUCAAUUUCUCUAGUUCUCUUCUUUAUUUCAACUCCUGUUAUCUUUGCUGCUGUAGACACCUAUCUCUCCUCUCAACAUUCUUCUUCCUCCAGCUAUCCUCCUCAAGCUCUCUCUAAACCCUGCACCUCUCACUCUGGUUCUCUCAUCUCUCAAACCUCCCUUAUGUUCUUAUUCUCUUGCCCAAAAGACCUACACUCCUUUGCAACCUCCCCGUGACCACCUUUAGAGAAAAAAACCCAGAAAAUACUUCUACGUUCCUCCCCUCUCUUCCUAACUUUCUCUCCAAGCUACUCUUAUUACCCU